RNAcentral lists this ribosomal RNA (329 nucleotides) under uncultured eukaryote. RNAcentral describes it as "partial 18S ribosomal RNA". It matches the Rfam family "Eukaryotic small subunit ribosomal RNA", at positions 1470 to 1796 of the family's 1831-position model. The record is from RNAcentral.
CCCUUAGAUGUCCUGGGCCGCACGCGCGCUACACUGAGUGUCUGAGAUACGAGUCUGCCUGGUCCGGCAAAGUCUAGGUAAUCGCUAAAAGACACAUCAUGCUUGGGAUAGAUUAUUGCAAAUAUUAAUCUUGAACGAGGAAUUCCUAGUAAGCGCAAGUCAACAGCUUGCGUUGAUUACGUCCCUGCCCUUUGUACACACCGCCCGUCGCUACUACUGAUUGGAUGUUUAAGCGAGGUUCUCGAACUGCUAGCGACUUAGCUUCGGUGAGGUCGCAGUGUGGGAAGUGAACCUAGCUUUGGUGUCUAGAGGAAGUAAAAGUCGUAACA